Molecule: ribosomal RNA, 254 nt
Filed under: uncultured bacterium
Lineage: Bacteria
Description: partial 16S ribosomal RNA
Rfam family: Bacterial small subunit ribosomal RNA
Source: RNAcentral
UACGGGGGGGGGCAAGCGUUGUUCGGAAUUACUGGGCGUAAAGGGCGCGUAGGCGGCCUGCUAAGUCACACGUGAAAUCCCUCGGCUCAACCGGGGAACUGCGUGUGAUACUGGCGGGCUCGAAUUCGGGAGAGGGAUGUGGAAUUCCAGGUGUAGCGGUGAAAUGCGUAGAUAUCUGGAGGAACACCGGUGGCGAAGGCGGCGUUCUGGACUGCAACUGACACUGAGGAACGAAAGCCAGGGGAGCAAACGGG